AGGACGAACGCUGGCGGCGUGCUUAACACAUGCAAGUCGAGCGGAAAGGCCCUUCGGGGUACUCGAGCGGCGAACGGGUGAGUAACACGUGAGUAAUCUGCCCAUCGCUUCAGGAUAGCCAUCGGAAACGGUGAUUAAUACUGGAUAUGACAUUCCUUCGCAGUGUUGGGGUGUGGAAAGUUUUUUCGGCGGUGGAGUGUGCUCGCGGCCUAGUCAGCUUGGUUGGUGGGGUAAUGGCCUACCAAGGCUUUGACGGGUAGCCGGCCUGAGAGGUGACCGCACACGUGGACUGCGACACGGCCCAGACUCCGUACGGGAGGCAGCGAGUGGGAACUAUUAGGACAAGUCGGGAGGAACGCC
This 360-nucleotide ribosomal RNA is filed under the name uncultured soil bacterium. Its description in RNAcentral is "bacterial SSU rRNA". It matches the Rfam family "Bacterial small subunit ribosomal RNA", at positions 26 to 388 of the family's 1533-position model. The record is from RNAcentral.